This is an RNA transcript of Brassica rapa (field mustard), 2337 nucleotides long. It is a transcript of the gene named putative protein TPRXL, with no coding region annotated. NCBI's taxonomy places the organism in Eukaryota, Viridiplantae, Streptophyta, Magnoliopsida, Brassicales, Brassicaceae. The record is from RefSeq and is a predicted model, not a curated record.
UUAUCACUGACAUCUUCCUUAGUCAUCAUACGUUGCAGCUUUUGUAACUGUCCACAAAAGCUUUCCUUACGCUUCGAAUGGUAACAUCCAUCCCGCACUGCACCGUAGUUAACAGUAAUAAGAAUCUAUACAUAUACCAUAUAUCUAUACGUUUUUAUAACUGUCAGAACUGCACUGCAGUUAAACCGCUUGUCCUGCACCGCUCAAUCCACUGUUACCAUUCGGAGCCUUAGUGUCGCCCUUCUCCGCCGUCGGAUCAAGAACACGAUUCAUUUCGAAACGGCAAAACUGCCAAGUCGUAAAAAAAAAAAGAACUAAAAAGAAAUAAAUAAAAAGCCAUUACUAUUAGCUAACCAUGGUUAAAUUUGACUAACCCGAUAUAGAAUCACCCAAAUUUCGGAAAAGGUCAAACCCUUUUAAAGUAUUUACAAUUCAUGCCAUUGGGUCAGCUUUUGCUAUAAAUUCGGUUGCUGAGACUCGCUAGGUUUGCCGAACCAACCUCCCUCCGGGACCUUCUAAAGAGCAAAAAUCUCUCAGUAGCCUCCUUCCUUCUUCUCAGAAGACUUCUUCUAAAUCUCUCUUUUGACUUUUAAAAUAUGCAAAGAAAAACAAUGGUGACAACAUCCUCUCGUACCAAAUCAAACGGCCAUGUGCUCCGUUCUCAAUCGCCGUCGGGUCGAUUCUGCGGCGAUUACUCCAAAUCCACCCCGUCGUCGUCUUCGUCAACCUUCGCUUCGUCUACGAGCUCCAGCUUCUCGUCUCCGUCCUCAUCCUUCUUCAGCAACCACCACCGAUCCGCGUCUCCGACUCGCGUGAACCUAUACAACCCUCAGCCGAUUGCUCAGUCCUUUCGUUACUCUCUCGACAGCAGAUCCAUCUCCCCUACCAACAGAUCCAUCUCCGUUACGAAGAAGCCUCAGCCUAGCAGCCACCACCACCACCACCACCACAAGAUCUCUUCCUCCCCGAGGAGGUGUAUGUGCUCUCCGACGACGCAUCCCGGAUCUUUCCGAUGUAGUCUUCACAAAAACGUCGCGAAUCCGCACGGUCAAGGCGCGUCGUCGUCGUCGUAUCCGACGAACAGUUUGAAUAUGAGGAGAUCCGCGAUGACGAAUUCGCUGGUGAGAAUCGGUGGGGUUGAAGGAGAGUGGGUGAGGAGAGCCUUGACGACUCUGAUAAGGCCUUCGUCGCAUCAUCUGAGACGAAGGGCUGCUUAUCAGCCUCGUCCCAGUAGGCUAUCGAACAUGUCGAAAGCCACCGAGUGUAAUUGAUCUUGGUUUUGAUUUCAGAUUUCAGGUUUCAGGUUUGCUCUUCUCUUUUCUCCGUUAGAUCUGGAGAAGGAAGACUCUAAUCUAUAGCCGGUGGCGACUGUGGAUGAGAAUCUCAACCUUGGAAUCGAGUUUUGUAAAACGAAGAUGAUCUUAUAAUUUUUUGUUUGUUGUUGGGUGAAGAAAGAUGUAUAUAUUUACUCUAAAAAAAAAAGAAGAAAUGUCGGACUCGAGAAAUUGAACCUAGCUAGAAUCAAAUCUAUAAGAAUCUGUGUUUGUCAGAUUCCCGUUUAUACGUUUCCCGUGAAGUCGACGUUCGUUGACCGUCCCGUUCACCGUUGUGCGUUCCGUUGAUUUUCGAGGUAUGCGUUGUUCGUCGUGUGAGGUAUGGUAUGUUCUUUUAUUUAUUUCGUUUUUGCUUGUUUAUUUUUUUUUCUUUUUUGGGUGUGUUUUUUUUUUUUUUUUGCCUUUUUCUCCUAUUUUGCAGGUUGCGUUUGGUAAUGGAGUUUGAACUACUUUAGUACCCGGUUACAUGGAAUUGAAAGAUGAACAAAAAAUAACCAGCAGAAGUGACAUAGAAAAAUGGUUUCGAAAUGGUCUUUCUGGAUGAACAUUGAUGACAAUAUUUCACAUAAGGACUGGAGGAAAAAACGAGAAAGUAUAUUUUGGAUAGAUGAUGACUGACCAAUUAGAAAACGACCGAACAUGAAAAUUAGCAGAGGAUUUGCUGGAAAAUAAAUUUGAAUAAUCGGAAAUUGGGAAUCAUUACAUUCAUGAACAUCUAAGUUGAGAAUAUUUGAAAGAGGAGAAAACUAGAGCUAAGAGUGUUAAAGACCGUCUUUAUGAUCUUCGGAACUAUUAUACUCGAUAUUAUACAUCCAAGAUACGUCCAUCAUUAGCAUUAAAUAUUAGUGAUGAAUAGAAGGGUUGAUUACCACAAAGUUGGAUUAGACUUGUAAGCUUCUCUAAAUUAUGGAUCCCUUCUGGUUAAGAUCGGUUUAUGUUCAAUCUGUCUUGGUUUAAGCAUUGAACCCAUACAAUUUUUCUUGGGAUAUACUACCAAAUUGUC